GAUGAACGCUGGCGGCGUGCCUAAUACAUGCAAGUCGAGCGAAGCUGGGACGGGGGAGUAACACGUAGAUACCCUCCUAUAAGACUGGGAUAACUUCGGGAAACCGGAUCUCAACCGGCUACUUAUAGAUGACUCCGCGGUUCCGUAGAUAGUUGGUAAGGUAACGGCUUACCAAGGCAACGAUGCAUAGCCGAUCUGAGAUGGUGAUCUGCCACACUGGAACUGAGACACGGUCCAGACUCCUACGUGAGGCAGCAGUAGGGAAUCUUCCGCAAUGGGCGAAAGCCUGACGGAGCAAUGCCGCGUGAGUGAUGAAGGUCUUCGGAUCGUAAAACUCUGUUAUUAGGGAAGCGGUACCUAAUCAGAAAGCCACGGCUAACUACGUGCCAGCAGCCGCGGUAAUAC
This 405-nucleotide ribosomal RNA is filed under the name uncultured bacterium. Its description in RNAcentral is "partial 16S ribosomal RNA". It matches the Rfam family "Bacterial small subunit ribosomal RNA", at positions 28 to 526 of the family's 1533-position model. The record is from RNAcentral.